UACGGAGGGUGCAAGCGUUAUCCGGAUUCACUGGGUUUAAAGGGUGCGUAGGUGGGCUGGUAAGUCAGUGGUGAAAUCUCCAGGCUUAACUUGGAAACUGCCAUUGACACUAUCAGUCUUGAAUACCGUGGAGGUCAGCGGAAUAUGUCAUGUAGCGGUGAAAUGCUUAGAUAUGACAUAGAACACCAAUUGCGAAGGCAGCUGGCUACACGAAUAUUGACACUGAUGCACGAAAGCGUGGGGGAUCAAACAGG
Molecule: ribosomal RNA, 254 nt
Filed under: uncultured bacterium
Lineage: Bacteria
Description: partial 16S ribosomal RNA
Rfam family: Bacterial small subunit ribosomal RNA
Source: RNAcentral